GAUGAAGAACGCAGCGAAAUGCGAUAAGUAGUGUGAAUUGCAGAAUUCAGUGAAUCAUCGAAUCUUUGAACGCACAUUGCGCCCCAUGGUAUUCCGUGGGGCAUGCCUGUUCGAGCGUCAUUUACCCCCUCAAGCUCCGCUUGGUGUUGGGCGUCUGUCCCGCUUCGCGCGCGGACUCGCCCCAAAGGUAUUGGCAGCGGUCGUGCCAGCUUCUCGCGCAGCACAUUGCGCAUCUCGAGGCACCGGCGGGCCCGCGUCCAUCAAGCUCCUCCCCCCCAGUUUGACCUCGGAUCAGGUAGGGAUACCCGCUGAACUUAAGCAUAUCAAUAAGCGGAGGA
This 338-nucleotide unclassified non-coding RNA is filed under the name soil metagenome. Its description in RNAcentral is "partial contains 5.8S ribosomal RNA, internal transcribed spacer 2, and large subunit ribosomal RNA". The stretch from base 1 to 120 matches the Rfam family "5.8S ribosomal RNA", at positions 35 to 154 of the family's 154-position model. The record is from RNAcentral.